This 289-nucleotide small RNA is filed under the name Bacillus spizizenii TU-B-10. RNAcentral describes it as "Bacillus subtilis subsp. spizizenii TU-B-10 SurA sRNA". It matches the Rfam family "SurA sRNA". Lineage: Bacteria; Bacillati; Bacillota; Bacilli; Caryophanales; Bacillaceae. The record is from Rfam by way of RNAcentral.
CUUCAAGGAAUGGAGCAAACGGCGGAGCAGGGAUACUUUGGCCGGUUUCAUCUACUCCGCCUCUAAGUCCAAAUCAACAGGAUGUCGGUUUCUUUGAGGCUUUAGCACGAAUUUCUCGUCCUCCUUGUUAAAUUUUUGUUAAAUUCACAAUAUUAUAUACCAUUGGCCCGGGCGCUGUUCUUCCCAUUUCUGAAUUUAUGAAAAGUAAGUUGGCACCAACUACCUUUUUCCCAAUUCGCAUAUCAAACAGAAAAAAAACGCACCUGCCCUUUGGCCUGUGCAUUUUUAU